GAUGAACGCUAGCUACAGGCUUAACACAUGCAAGUCGAGGGGCAUCAUGAACUUAGCUUGCUAAGUUUGAUGGCGACCGGCGCACGGGUGAGUAACGCGUAUCCAACCUGGCCCACAGUAGGGUAUAGCCCGGCGAAAGUCGGAUUAAUCCCCUAUGCACUCCGAAGCGGGCAUCUAAUUUGGAGUAAAGGUUUACCGCUGUGGGAUGGGGAUGCGUCCAAUUAGCUUGCCGGCGGGGCAACGGCCCACCGGGGCAACGAUUGGUAGGGGUUCUGAGAGGAAGGUCCCCCACAUUGGUACUGAGACACGGACCAAACUCC
RNAcentral lists this ribosomal RNA (320 nucleotides) under uncultured Prevotella sp. RNAcentral describes it as "bacterial SSU rRNA". It matches the Rfam family "Bacterial small subunit ribosomal RNA", at positions 28 to 339 of the family's 1533-position model. The record is from RNAcentral. Lineage: Bacteria; Pseudomonadati; Bacteroidota; Bacteroidia; Bacteroidales; Prevotellaceae.